Molecule: ribosomal RNA, 53 nt
Filed under: Vigna unguiculata (cowpea)
Lineage: Eukaryota; Viridiplantae; Streptophyta; Magnoliopsida; Fabales; Fabaceae
Description: partial large subunit ribosomal RNA
Source: RNAcentral
GAGACCUCAGGUCAGGCGGGGCUACCCGCUGAGUUUAAGCAUAUCAAUAGCGG